This 661-nucleotide ribosomal RNA is filed under the name Bacillus cereus. Its description in RNAcentral is "bacterial SSU rRNA". It matches the Rfam family "Bacterial small subunit ribosomal RNA", at positions 50 to 690 of the family's 1533-position model. Lineage: Bacteria; Bacillati; Bacillota; Bacilli; Caryophanales; Bacillaceae. The record is from RNAcentral.
UAUACAUGCAGUCGAGCGGAUGGAUUAAGAGCUUGCUCUUAUGAAGUUAGCGGCGGACGGGUGAGUAACACGUGGGUAACCUGCCCAUAAGACUGGGAUAACUCCGGGAAACCGGGGCUAAUACCGGAUAAUAUUUUGAACUGCAUGGUUCGAAAUUGAAAGGCGGCUUCGGCUGUCACUUAUGGAUGGACCCGCGUCGCAUUAGCUAGUUGGUGAGGUAACGGCUCACCAAGGCAACGAUGCGUAGCCGACCUGAGAGGGUGAUCGGCCACACUGGGACUGAGACACGGCCCAGACUCCUACGGGAGGCAGCAGUAGGGAAUCUUCCGCAAUGGACGAAAGUCUGACGGAGCAACGCCGCGUGAGUGAUGAAGGCUUUCGGGUCGUAAAACUCUGUUGUUAGGGAAGAACAAGUGCUAGUUGAAUAAGCUGGCACCUUGACGGUACCUAACCAGAAAGCCACGGCUAACUACGUGCCAGCAGCCGCGGUAAUACGUAGGUGGCAAGCGUUAUCCGGAAUUAUUGGGCGUAAAGCGCGCGCAGGUGGUUUCUUAAGUCUGAUGUGAAAGCCCACGGCUCAACCGUGGAGGGUCAUUGGAAACUGGGAGACUUGAGUGCAGAAGAGGAAAGUGGAAUUCCAUGUGUAGCGGGAAAUUUGGCU